Molecule: ribosomal RNA, 252 nt
Filed under: uncultured bacterium
Lineage: Bacteria
Description: partial 16S ribosomal RNA
Rfam family: Bacterial small subunit ribosomal RNA
Source: RNAcentral
UACGUAGGGGGCAAGCGUUGUCCGGAAUUAUUGGGCGUAAAGCGCGCGCAGGCGGUCAUGUAAGUCUGGUGUUUAAACCCAAGGCUCAACCUUGGGUCGCAUUGGAUACUGCAUGGCUUGAGUACAGAAGAGGAGAGUGGAAUUCCACGUGUAGCGGUGAAAUGCGUAGAUAUGUGGAGGAACACCAGUGGCGAAGGCGACUCUCUGGGCUGUAACUGACGCUGAGGCGCGAAAGCGUGGGGAGCAAACAGG